GAAAAACCUCUUCAAUUGGCACGUUCUCCUGCGCUCAGUCACAAUAAUGAACUCAAAACAUAAAACCCAGGAAGCAAGAAAACCCAAAAUACAAAACUCUUAAAAGGCAGAAAUAUCAAAAGGGUGAAGUUCUGAUUAACAAAUAGAAAAACAGAGAGAUGGGUUCAGCUUGCUCUGUUUUUUUUCUUUCUUUUUUGUUUUUAUUUGUACCAAAU
RNAcentral lists this unclassified non-coding RNA (215 nucleotides) under Hevea brasiliensis (rubber tree). Lineage: Eukaryota; Viridiplantae; Streptophyta; Magnoliopsida; Malpighiales; Euphorbiaceae. The record is from RNAcentral.